Molecule: long non-coding RNA, 1301 nt
Organism: Stegastes partitus (bicolor damselfish)
Lineage: Eukaryota; Metazoa; Chordata; Actinopteri; Pomacentridae
Exons: 3
Source: RefSeq, a predicted model, not a curated record
AGAGCUAAAGAUAAAGUGGAGGAUUACUAGCUGAUGCAGGUUACUGCUAGAAUAUGAAAAUACAACAAAGUAAGGCAGCAGAAGGCAGGCGUUUAGACAGCAGGGGGAGGAAUAGAAAAACAGACUCAAAACACGAGUAAAUGAAACUGCUACGUGGCUCCGUUACUCACCCGCCGUCUUUACAGAGUUAACAAGAGAGCAGGUCAAACUGCAGAAGAGCUGAAACUGAACACAAACUCUUAGAAAAGAACCCCGGCACCCCUCUUCAUGUUACGUCUGACAAUAUCGACUGAAUCUCUUUCAUGCACUCCUGACUGAAAACAAGACAAACGGUGCUAAAACGAGCUCCUUUAAACCGCUCACAACUAUUGUUCUCCAACUGUUGAUCAGUUCUGCCAACUGUGGACACUGGACACAUGUAAUAUUGUGAUUUCUAGUGAAUUUUGAUCCCGCACAUCGUAACAAAAUGAACCUGCGAGCCACUGCAUAAAGUACAAGUUGCACCUGUUCAACAGGUUUCACUUUGAGUUGCAUAGUAUUAAAAAAUAGCUCUUUGACUUUAAUAAAAACAGACACUAGGGGGCACUCAAUGCCCUCCAUGGCUGAGUCAUUACAUAAUCAACUGCUCUUUACAAAAAAACACAUUAUCAAAGCCCAGAAGACUGAAUUCCAUCAGUUCUUCUCACAUCAAAAUCAGAAACCUGCUGCUUGUGUUUUGAAAUGCACAUAACGCGCACCGACUACAAAUAUUUAGUCAUAUAAAGUUUCUUAGCGAUGGCUUCAUUCAACUUCUUUGGGUUGUCAGGUAAUAAAAAACAAAAAUAUCAGUCGACACAAUGUGAACCAAUUAGUGCAAAAGAGAUUAAGUGCAACGUUACAUGAUGUCCGAUGUCCACUGAUCACUGCCUGCUCUCUGAAUCGCUCACUUCAGCCACACAGUGGUGGUGUUGGGGGGGUUUACUGUACUGCUGUAACAAAAAUAAAAGGACAGAAAGCUGCAAACACACACAGGACAUAAUCGAUCCACAGUAGCACAGCGCAUGCCCUUAUUCACGACGAGAUUUAAAGUACAGUACAAGCGCCAUUACAAGUCAGUACAAAAUGUAAAAGAAAUCAUAUGCAAUGAAUGUACAUUAAAGUAUUUUUUGAAAACAUCCAAAAAAGAAAGUUCCUUUUUUUUGUUUUUUUUUUUAAAACAGAUUUUGACGUUGGUUUGUCCCAGUGCCCUGCCAGAGAGAAUCACAGCCGACUCCUGUCUGACUGAGGAAAGUGGAGAUGUGUCCAAAUUUGCAAGGAAAAAA